Molecule: ribosomal RNA, 653 nt
Filed under: uncultured Actinomycetales bacterium
Lineage: Bacteria; Bacillati; Actinomycetota; Actinomycetes; Actinomycetales
Description: bacterial SSU rRNA
Rfam family: Bacterial small subunit ribosomal RNA
Source: RNAcentral
AAAGGCUCCAGCUUGCUGGAGUACUCGAGUGGCGAACGGGUGAGUAACACGUGGGUAAUCUGCCCUGCACUCUGGGAUAAGCCUGGGAAACUGGGUCUAAUACUGGAUAUGACCUUUCUCCUUAUGGGGUUUGGUGGAAAGUUUUUCGGUGUAGGAUGAGCCCGCGGCCUAUCAGCUUGUUGGUGGGGUGAUGGCCUACCAAGGCGACGACGGGUAGCCGGCCUGAGAGGGUGAUCGGCCACAUUGGGACUGAGAUACGGCCCAGACUCCUACGGGAGGCAGCAGUGGGGAAUAUUGCACAAUGGGCGGAAGCCUGAUGCAGCGACGCCGCGUGAGGGAUGACGGCCUUCGGGUUGUAAACCUCUUUCAGCAGGGACGAAGCGUAAGUGACGGUACCUGCAGAAGAAGCACCGGCUAACUAUGUGCCAGCAGCCGCGGUAAUACGUAGGGUGCGAGCGUUGUCCGGAAUUACUGGGCGUAAAGAGCUCGUAGGCGGUUUGUCACGUCGUCUGUGAAAUCCUAGGGCUUAACCCUGGACGUGCAGGCGAUACGGGCUGACUUGAGUACUACAGGGGAGACUGGAAUUUCUGGUGUAGCGGUGGAAUGCACAGAUAUCAGGAAGAACACCGAUGGCGAAGGCAGGUCUCUGGGUA